GAUCCUGGCUCAGGAUGAACGCUAGCUACAGGCUUAACACAUGCAAGUCGAGGGGGCAGCAUGGUCUUAGCUUGCUAAGGCCGAUGGCGCCGGCGCACGGGUGAGUAACAGUAUCCAACCUGCCGUCUACUCUUGGACAGCCUUNUGAAAGGAAGAUUAAUACAAGAUGGCAUCAUGAGUUCACAUGUUCACAUGAUUAAAGGUAUUCCGGUAGACGAUGGGG
RNAcentral lists this ribosomal RNA (223 nucleotides) under uncultured bacterium. RNAcentral's name for it is "partial 16S ribosomal RNA". It matches the Rfam family "Bacterial small subunit ribosomal RNA", at positions 15 to 230 of the family's 1533-position model. The record is from RNAcentral.